AGUGAACGCUGGCGGUAGGCCUAACACAUGCAAGUCGAACGGCAGCACAGUAAGAGCUUGCUCUUACGGGUGGCGAGUGGCGGACGGGUGAGGAAUACAUCGGAAUCUAAUUUUUCGUGGGGGAUAACGUAGGGAAACUUACGCUAAUACCGCAUACGUCGUACGGGUGAAAGCAGGGGAUCUACGGACCUUGCGCGAUUGAAUGAGCCGGUGUCGGAUUAGCUAGUUGGCGGGGUAAAGGCCCACCAAGGCGACGAUCCGUAGCUGGUCUGAGAGGAUGAUCAGCCACACUGGAACUGAGACACGGUCCAGACUCCUACGGGAGGCAGCAGUGGGGAAUAUUGGACAAUGGGCGCUAGCCUGAUCCAGCCAUACCGCGUGGGUGAAGAAGGCCUUCGGGUUGUAAAGCCCUUUUGUUGGGAAAGAAAAGCAGCAUGUUAAUACCCCGCUGUUCUGACGGUACCCAAAGAAUAAGCACCGGCUAACUUCGUG
This 492-nucleotide ribosomal RNA is filed under the name uncultured bacterium. RNAcentral describes it as "partial 16S ribosomal RNA". It matches the Rfam family "Bacterial small subunit ribosomal RNA", at positions 29 to 507 of the family's 1533-position model. The record is from RNAcentral.